UACAGAGGUCCCAAGCGUUGUUCGGAUUCAUUGGGCGUAAAGGGUGCGUAGGCGGCGCGGUAAGUCGGGUGUGAAAUCUCAGAGCUCAACUCUGAAACUGCAUUCGAUACUGCCGUGCUUGAGGACUGGAGAGGAGACUGGAAUUUACGGUGUAGCGGUGAAAUGCGUAGAUAUCGUAAGGAAGACCAGUGGCGAAGGCGGGUCUCUGGACAGUUCCUGACGCUGAGGCACGAAGGCCAGGGGAGCAAACGGG
Molecule: ribosomal RNA, 253 nt
Filed under: uncultured bacterium
Lineage: Bacteria
Description: partial 16S ribosomal RNA
Rfam family: Bacterial small subunit ribosomal RNA
Source: RNAcentral